Molecule: ribosomal RNA, 261 nt
Filed under: Priestia endophytica
Lineage: Bacteria; Bacillati; Bacillota; Bacilli; Caryophanales; Bacillaceae
Description: Bacillus endophyticus partial 23S ribosomal RNA
Rfam family: Bacterial large subunit ribosomal RNA
Source: RNAcentral
AGAGGAGCUGUCCUUAGUACGAGAGGACCGGGAUGGACGCACCGCUGGUGUACCAGUUGUCUUGCCAAAGGCAUCGCUGGGUAGCUACGUGCGGACGGGAUAAGUGCUGAAAGCAUCUAAGCAUGAAGCCCCCCUCAAGAUGAGACUUCCCAUUCUUCGGAAGUAAGAUCCCUGAGAGACGAUCAGGUAGAUAGGUUAGAGGUGGAAGCAUGGCGACAUGUGGAGCUGACUAAUACUAAUCGAUCGAGGACUUAACCUAAG